Molecule: non-coding RNA, 99 nt
Filed under: Xenorhabdus cabanillasii JM26
Lineage: Bacteria; Pseudomonadati; Pseudomonadota; Gammaproteobacteria; Enterobacterales; Morganellaceae
Source: RNAcentral
GAAAGCUGGAUGAGAUCGAAAGACUCAUGUCCGGUUUGGAGAGGGGGGUGCCCGGAAAAGUGCCGUGAUAAACGGUAACUCGCUGGCGCUCUACUCUAC